CAUGUUCUGCAGAACACCUUCGAUGAUCUUGCGGAUCAUCUCUUCGUUAAUAUCGCUGGAGGUGUUCUGGGUGCAACCCUGGAAGCGCGG
This 90-nucleotide transfer RNA is filed under the name Parendozoicomonas haliclonae. RNAcentral's name for it is "tRNA-Ala". The record is from RNAcentral. Lineage: Bacteria; Pseudomonadati; Pseudomonadota; Gammaproteobacteria; Oceanospirillales; Endozoicomonadaceae.